Molecule: ribosomal RNA, 223 nt
Filed under: Symbiodinium sp. clade D
Lineage: Eukaryota; Dinophyceae; Suessiales; Symbiodiniaceae
Description: partial Eukaryotic large subunit ribosomal RNA
Rfam family: Eukaryotic large subunit ribosomal RNA
Source: RNAcentral
UUUUGGUAAGCAGAACUGGCGAUGCGGGAUGAACCGAACGCGGGAGUUAAGGCGCCAAAAUCGACGCUCAUCAGACCCCAGAAAAGGUGUUGGUUGAUCUAGACAGCAGGACGGUGGCCAUGGACGUCGGAAUCCGCUAAGAAGUGUGUAACAACUUACCUGCCGAAUCCAUAGGCUCCGAAAAAGGACGAUGCUCAAGCCGUUCUCACUUAUAGCAUGCCGC